Molecule: long non-coding RNA, 9871 nt
Filed under: Cucumis sativus (cucumber)
Lineage: Eukaryota; Viridiplantae; Streptophyta; Magnoliopsida; Cucurbitales; Cucurbitaceae
Description: long non-coding RNA (CSAT_LNC002400)
Source: RNAcentral
GAAAACCAGAUCCCACAGUGUUAUGCAAAGAGCCUUUCAAAGCAAAAGGAAAAACAAAAAAACAAACCAUUGAACAACAUCUGGUGGCUGCUACCCUGUGGAAUAUUUGGAAUGAAAGAAACAGAAGAACUUUUAAGGAAGAAGAAAGAACAACUGUUUCAGUAUGGGAAGACACUCAGGCUAUAACUGGUCUAUGGACAAGCCGCUCUUCUCUAUUCAAAAAUUACACGUCAAGUUCUAUUGCUUUAAAUUUACAUGCUUUCGUUUCGGGAUAAUCAGGCUGCUCUCUAGCCUUUCUUCUCCCCCGCUUCCUGUAAUCACAUUUUAUUAUAAUGAAGUGGGUUGUAGUUGAUGCAUUUAUAUGUCCCAUGGAGAUAUCCUUGCAUCAGCUAUCCCUUAGUAUCAUUUUAUAAAAAAAAAAACAUUUUGAAAAUAUGAUAUAGCAAUUAUAGCACAUUGUUUUAGAAUUUUGCAAAUAUGACAAAAUUUUCACUUCUCCAUCUUAAAUUUGUUAUUAUUCCUAAACUGUCAUUCAAUAACUUAUUUAUCUUUCUCUUUUUAAUAUCCUACUCAUUAUUUAUUUAUUCUUCCACUUUUUAAGGCCCUAAUUAUUUGUUUAUUCUUAUACUAGAAAAAUUAUUUAUUCUUCCUAUCUUAAUCUUAAUUUUAAAAUAUCAAUAGUACAAUACUUACAAUAUGAAAUAUAAUAUAAUGGUUGUUGAUUGGAGUAAUUUAAUUUCAUUUGUGAUUUUUCUUUUUUUCUUUUACUUUCUUCGUUGUGUAUUUUGAGUUAAAUCUGAUUCCAAAUGGUUUUGUUUUAUUUUUUUACAUUAACUUUUUUUGUUUAGUUUUCUAUAUCAGUGUUGUGAUAUACUUAUAUUAUAUGUAUUAGUUGGUUAAUAUAUUUACUACGUGAUUUUCAUUUUUUCAAAUUUUAUGCAGUUCAUUAGAGUAAUAUUAUGUAUAUGAAUGAUGUAACUCAGUGUAUUAUUAUCAAGUAUACCAACAAUAUAUUGUUAAAACAUUUAAGUAAAGUGAAUCAUUAUCAAGUAUGUGAAUCAAGUUUACAAGUGUAUAUCAAUAGUAUAUCAAGUGUAUAUGUAGGAGUUCAAACAUAUCAAGUGCAUUUAAUCAAUCAAUUGUAUAAGUGAAGAAUACUAAAUGUAUAUGCAGUGUAUCAGAUAUAUCAAAUAUAUAUUAGUAAUGUUUCAGGUGUGUAUCAAAAGGUAUCGAGUUUAUAAAAAAAUAUCAGGUGCAUCAAGUGUAUCAAUCAAAUGUAUUUGGUGUAUCAAGAAGUAUCAAUUGUAUCAAGAGAUAUAUUAGGUGUAUCAGAUGUGUAUAAGAUGUAUCAAAUAUAUAUUAGUAACGAUGGCAUUUGUGACAUUUUACCUCUUGAUGUGUAGGUUGGGCUUCGUUUGUGUCAUUUUCGCAAAUAAUAAAGUCUGUGUGAUAUGGACUUAAAUUAUUAUAACUUAUUUUGUCAUUUUUGCAAGUACCACUAAAAAAGAGUUGGAGAGAGUUUGAAAUUUGUGAGAAUGAAAAGAAUAAGAAGAUCAGUUUGAGGGUCAACAACAUUUUCAAGUGGCGGGAUGAGCGACAAUGAAGCGAUGGCCCUUUCUUUCUCGAUUUCUCUUUUACCAUUUUGCGUUCUCCCUUCUUAGAUCUAGAAAUUACAAACCUGAGGAGGGUUUUCAAAGAGUAACUCCCGAAGCACCCCGAUAAGUGUUGGGAGUUACCUAUUUCUCACAACAACUUACUAUGCAUGUUGGGAGUUACUUGUAUCUCUCGACCCCUAAACCGUAAUUGUCGCAACAAAAAUAGUUACAAAUAUAGCAAAAUAUCACAAUUUAUUUGUAAUAUUUUAAAUACGACAAAAUCAUGAUAGACACUAUUUAUAUCUAUCAUGACAUAGAUAGACCUGAAUAGACAAACUUUCAUUGUCUCUCUUCAAUAAAUUGCGAUAGACUACUGUAUGUGUCUAUCACAGUUUAUUGCAAAUAGACAAUGAAAUAUUACUAUAUUUAUAAAGAGUUUUGUUUAUUUUACUAUAUUUGAAAACUACAAAAAAAAAAAAUAUUCUAAUUUAGUUUUAAAAAGUCUACUUGUGUUAAAAUAUAAUUGUUGUGACAUAUACUUUAGAAAACAUUUCAAAUUUAAUCCUUAAGUUUGUUCUUAGUUUAACUUAUUCUUAUAUUUUCGAAAACAUUACUAUAUCUUAUUAAUUACUCAUUUCCCUCUAAAUUAUUUUGGGAACAUAUUCUCAUAGUAUAUGUUUCUAUUAUGUAAUCGAUUUUGGGUUUAAAAAACAAAAACCCUUCAAAUAACUAGAUUUAAAAUCCACUAAAAGGAUUAAGACUAAAAUUAUACCUUUGAAAUUAUAUAGACUAAAACUUAACAAGUAUAUUGAAGUAUAAAGGAUUAAAAUGGUAAUUCAACCUCAUUUUUUUGUCUCUAAAAAUGUUCUCUCCAUUUUUUAUGGCAUUUUAUUGAUUGCAAAGUUUCUUUCUUCUAGGAAAUAUUGAUAUAAAGUUAACUGCCGUGGUCGUCUAUUGUCGCAUAAUCUUUUUUCAUUGUCAUCCCAACCACACCUUCCUGAUAUCAAUAAUAAAUUAGGCAUCGUGACUUCAACUUGGAGUUAAAAAUUGAGGACUUGUUUGAUGAUUAGGAACUCCAUCCCAUCAAUCUCUACUUUAAUAUUUUUAGUAGGAGUAACUUAAAAUGGAUCCCUACUCUUUAGAAGUCUUUUGUUAACCUCAAAUUCAGAGAAAAAAAAAUGGGUCGAAAAUAUGUUCUCUACUCGGAAGAGUUUCUUCUUCCACAUUAAAAACGAGUAGACAGUGGAGAGAAAGUACAAGAGCUCUCUAAGGGACUCUCUAAAUCGCUAAAGCGGUAGCCAAGUAUGUUAGACGUCUAUACAUGUAAAUUAAAAAUAGAGCGAUAUAUGGGUGAUUUAAUAAUUUAUCAUAUUGAAUUAUUUUAUUAGAUUGAGCCAAUUAUGUGAUCUGUUUAAUUAAGGUUCUAAAUUUAUAAUUGAGUAUAGACUAAAUGAAUAGAGGUCUAUUUCUAGAUUGAUUAGGAUUUAAUAAAAACCGUAAUUAAAUUAGUACAUAAAGAGACUUAGAGUUAUGAUCCACAAUAUACUAAAACAAUAAGCAUUCAACCUUUCGAAUCUUAUCUAGAGAAAGGUCCCACUCAGAAAAUUCAAAGUUUCAUUGAGGAAGACAAACCCUAUAGAUUUUCAAUAGAAUGUAAUAUGUUCGUUGAGGAAGACAAACCCUAUAGACUCUCAAUAGAAUGUAAUAUGUUGUUCUUGACAAUUUGACAUGAACAAUCUACAAAGGAAACUCAAAAACACUCUAAAAUACACUAGGAUAGUUUUCAGAAACUAUUACUCCAAUUUUUAUGACUUAUUUUUAAAAUUAUAUAAUUAAAAAAUUAAACCAAACCCAUACUAUAUCGUCGGCUAAAAGCAUUUUGACGAUUGGAAGAAUGUUAGGCUUUAAGCUCUAUUGAAAGAUAAAAAUAAUGUGAUGCAAAGGUAUAUGAAAAUAGAGGCCCCUCCUAAUUAUAUGAUGAAUCCCACAACUCUUUGAAGGCACACCACAUAAAAAGUAGUGAUGUCUACAAAAUAAUCUCCAAUCAUGGACAAUGUGACAACACCAUCCAUUGUUUAGUUUAUUUUUUUCCUUUUCUUUUUAAUGACUUAUUUGAAGGGUUCGCCCGACAUUUUCUUAGUCAAUGGUACAAGGCCUAGGUUGUCAUUUCAAUAACUGUUCUCUACACAUCUUGACAUUCCCAAUCUUAAAAAAACAACAGUAUUCAAGAUUAUUUUACAGUUUCUUCUGUCCUUUUUCUCUGAUAAAAUCUUUCUUUAUUUAAACAAAAUGCUUUUCUUGUUCAGUUAAUGUUCUUUUGUUGAAAUAAUUUGAUCCAGACACGUGAAAAAUUCUAGAUGAAAAAAACAUAAUAAUAGUAGUAAUAACAGUAGUAGUGUUGAACAAUUGAUUGUAUCGAGGUAGAAAAGGCCACUACCUUAAAGGCAAUUUUAAAACGAUUUCUAUACUAGCCGUCUCAACACACCAAUCUUGGCAGAUGAGCACUUGUAAAACAAAAUUUUAAAAAUCAUUUUCUUUUUUUUAGAAAAGAAGAAACCUGUGUGUUUCAAAUCGAUUUUUUUUUUAUAUUAAAACAAUUUUUUUUAUAAAUUUGGAACAUUGCGGUCGAACUGUCACAUUCUGUUUUUGUAAAUGGUCUCAAUAUGUUUCCUAAUAGCUUCAAGAAUAAAAGGAAGCGAUAUUAAAAAUUAAUUCCUUCCAUCCAUGGUUUGAUACAAUCAUAAUUAAGGCUUAGUUUGAGAGUAUUAUAGAUUUCAAAAUAAGUGUUUGCAACCAUGCUUUUAGAAAAAUCAACUGUACUUUAAGUCAAAGGGUUGAAACUAUUCUUUUAGAAAAAUCAACCAUACUUGGUAAAUUUUCAGUAUGUGUUGGAGGGCGGGUCUUAAUCUUCUUUGAGCGUGAUUUUGAUCAUUGAAUAUGGGUGAGAUUUUGGGUUUGAUGGGCUUGUCUCAUAGAGUGGUUUGUAGGGGUUGAGCUAUAGUGGUUUUGUUUUGUUUCGUUCGGUUGGGUUGAGUAAGGAUGUCAAGUAAAAGCUUUGACGUACUUUGUGAUUUGAUGCUAUUUAUUUUAUGUGGCAGGAGUGUAACUAUCUGGUUGCAUGGGGGCACUGUCCUAUGAUGCUUAUGUGAUUGUGCUGCUUUUUGUUGCUACGGUUCGUGUUCGUGCUACUUUCUAACUUGAGGAUAUUGUUUAUCUGCUUUAUCAGGUUUUGAUUUUGGUUUUUUUUUUGCCUUUAAUCACUUUUUGUCUUUGCUUGUGUUUGUUUGUGUUCUUUUUUUCUUGACUUGUUCAAUGUGAUUGUUUUAUAAAACUCUAAUUGACAAAGGUAAAUUUGUAUUGCUUGACUCUUCUCAUUGUUAUGUAAUAGUAUUUAUACAAGUUAAUAUGGUAAAAUAUAAUAAAAUCAAUUUACAAUUACAGGUAUAAUAAAAGGGAGAAUAUCGCGGAGAGAUUUGUGGAUCUGAAUUAUCUUCUAAUAACCUCCCUCAAACGAAUGACUCAGGUUGAGUUUAGUAGUUUGUCUCGAAGGUGAAGAAAUUUUGGAGACCAAGAGUGCCUUUGUGAGUAUAGUAGCCAGUUGUUUGUUGGAAGAGAUGUAACGAACGAAAAUGUCUUUAUGAAGAAUUUUUUUUUCGAACAAAGUGGUAAUCGAUUUUAAUGUAUUUUGUUCGAGCAUGAAAGAUAGAAUUAUGAGCCAGAGAUAUAGCUGAAACAUUAUCACACCAUAAUGUUAGUGAGGUCUUAAGAGGAACACGAAGAUCACAGAGAAGUUGUCAGAUCCAGUAAAUUAGAUCGACAGUAGUAGUGACAAGUGACCGAUAUUCUUCUUCUGUGGAAGAAUAUGAGAUUGUAGGUUGCUUUUUAGAUGACCAAGAGUGUCUUCCCAGGCCCAGGAUUUGAAAUUCGGAUCUCCGACAUUCUCUUACAUCCCCUACGACCUGACAACGUCAUCUUUACUAUUCUUUAAGGCUUAUUAGAGGGAAACUUCUUUCCAAACAAACCAACACACGAGUCCUUUCAGCAUACUUUGUCCUCACUCACGUGUUUCCUAGGAAUAUUCCCAAGUGGUCAUCCAACAUAGAAUUGCUCCAAGCUAAGCACGCUUAAAUUUGGAGUUCCUACGAUCAAGCCACCGAAAAGGAAGGUGCACCUUGUUAGUAUAGGUAUUAACUUUUAAUUCUUUUAAUUCUUUCAUAACUUUAAUUUCAUGUCCUUAGGAUCCCUCUCAUUCAGAUGUGCUAUCGAUUCAUUCAUGUCUCCCUCAUAAACUUGGGUGUUACAUGUCUACCAGCUUCUGCUUGGUUCGUCUAUGAACCACAUCUUACUCGAAGAGCUUCUGCUUGGUUUGUCUCUGAACCACAUCUUACUCAAAAAGGUUCCGCUCUUAUACCAUCUGUAAUGCCACAAGCCCAGGAUUCAGAUUAGGAUUUGAAAUUCAGAUCAGGAUUUGAAAUUCAGAUCUUCUACAUUUCCCUACAUCUUCUACGACCUGGCGACAUCAUCCUUAGUAUCUUUAAAGACUUAUUAGAGUGAAAGUUUUUCCCACAAAUCAACACAAGUCCUUUCAGCUUACUUUGUUCUCACUCACAUGUAUCCUAGAAAAAUUCUCAGGAGGACACCUAAUAUAGAAUUGCUCCAAGCUAAGCAUGCUUAACUUUGGAGUUCCUAUGAUUAAGCCAUCGUAAAGGAAGGGGCAUCUUGUUAGUAUAGGUAUUCACUUUUAAUUCUUUUAAGUCUUUCUUUCAUGUCCUCAUAAUCCCUUAAUUCAGAUGUCAUAUCGGUUCAUUCAUGUCUCCCUCCUAAUCUCAGGUGUUACAUGCCACCAGCUUCGACUUGGUUCAUCCUCGAACCACAUCUUACUUGGAGAGGUUCCACUCUAAUACCAUUUGUAACGCCCAAGACCCAAGAUUUAGAAUUUGGAUCCUCGACAUUUUCCUACAUCCUCUGUGACCUGACAACAUCAUCCUUACCAUCCUUAAAGGUUUAUUAGAGUAAAAUUUCUACCCACAAACCAGCACGAGUCCUUUCAGCAUACUUUGUCGUCACUCACAUGCAUCCUAGGAAACUUUCCAAGAGGUCACUUUACUAUAGAAUUGCUUCAAGCUAAGUGCGCUUAACUUUGGAGUUCUUAUGAUUAAGCCACCGAAAAGGAAGGUACACCUUGUUGGUAUAAGUAUUAACUUUUUAAUUCUUUUUAAGUCUUUCUUAACAUUACUUUGAUGUCCUCAAGAUUCCUCUCAUUCAGAUGUGAUAUCGGAUCAUUCAUGUCUCCCUUUUAAUUUGGGAAGUUAUAAAUGGUAUCAGAGCGGAACCUGUCUCAAUAAGAUGUGGUACGGGGACGAACCAAGUGGAAGUUGGUGGACAUGUAACGCCCGAGAUUAGGAGAGAGACAUGAAUGAACCGGUAUCACAUCUGAAUGAGAGAGAUCCUAGGGACAUGAAAGUAAUGUUAAGAAAGAUUUAAAAGAACUAAAAGUUAAUACAUAUACUAACAAGGUGCACCUUUCUUUUUGAUGGCUUGAUCAUAAAAACUCAAAAGUUAAGCGUGCUUAGCUAGGAGUAAUUCUAUGUUGGAUGACCACCUGGUAAUUUUUUUAGGAUACAUAUGAGUGAGGACAAAGCAUGCUGAAAGGACUCGUGUUGGUUUGUGAGGAGAAGUUUCACUCUAAUAAGCCUUAAAGAAUAGUAAGGAUGAGGUUGCGAGGUUGCUUGGGAUGUAGGAGAAUGUCGGAGAUCUAAAUUCCAAAUUCUAGUUUGAAUCCUAGGCCUAGGGCGUUACAAAGAGAUUAGAUUAGAACCGAGUAAAGCAAUGAAUUCAGAGGUUGAACGUCGAUUAGAAGUAUCACUGGCCUAAACAGAGUCAUAAAAGGUCUGUAGAAAGAAUGACGUUUGUGGAAAUUUAUUCUAAGGGUUGGAGUACCACAUAGAUAUUUAAGGAUGCGCGUGUUUGACUGCCAAGAAGUGAAUUAUAGUUGGUUUAUGCAUGAAUUGACUGACACGAUAAUAUACCGAGAAUGCAACAUCAGGAUGAGUAAAGGUAAGGUAUUGCAAGGAACCAACUAGUCUGCUAUAUAAGGAUAGAUCAAUAAAUGAUGGUGCAAUGGUGUAAAGAUCAAGAGAAGUAGACAUUGGCGUGACAGGAGGUUUUUCAAAGGUCAUUCCCGAUGUAUGAAGAAGGUCAUUGAGAUAUUUGACUUGGUUAAUGAAAAUUCCAUUACUGGAGGAAUGUAUUUCAAGACCAAGAAAGUACUUUAAACGACCAAGAUCAAAUAUUUUUAAUUCAAAAGGGCCAAUUGGUUUUUUAGAAGAGAUAUAUAUGAAGAAUGAGGACCAAUGAUAAUGAUGUCAUCUACAUACAAAAGUAAGUAAAGUGUGAGAAGAUUUGACUAAUGAAAUGAAUAAUGAGGUAUCAACCGCAAAAGCAACAAAACCCAUAGUAAAUAAAUACUUAAGAUGUAAAGUGUUCAAACCAAGCGCGAGGGGCUUGUUUGAGGCCAUAAAGUCUUUUGUAGAGAAGACUCACAUGAUUUGGAUAUGUGUUAUCCUGAAAGCUAGAAGCAUGUAAACUGUUUCUUGGAGAAUAUCAUGUAGAAAUGCAUUUUUAAAAUCUAAGUGGGUCAAGGACUAACUGUAUUGAGCAGCAAGAGCAAGAAUAAUUCGUAUGGUGGGUUUCUUGACUACAAGACAAAAAGUUUAUUUAAAAUAAAAAAAUUAUACCUGAUGAUAACCUUUAGCAACUAGUCGCGCUUCACAACGAGCAAUAAAGCCAUUAAGAUUAUAUUUUAUGUGGAAAACCCAUUUAGAACGAACAUCAUUCAUAGAUGGAAGUCGAGGUACUAAGGACUAAGUACCCUGUGCUAGGAAAGUAUUGAUUCCUCACACAUUGCAGUUCGCCAUUCAAGAUACUUGAAGGCUUCAGUGUAUGAUGUGGGAGUCAGGAGAGCAGUUAUGAUAUGGAAUGCCUUUGGGUUUAAAAAUACUUUAUUUUGAUUGAGUUUUCAUAGCAUGAGUGUUGGUUGCAGCAACAUCUAUCUCAUUUCCUAUAUCGACUGUAGAUAAAACAUGUAAAGACUGACAAGUGGUAACAUCUAGUGUGAACAAGGAUUUUUUCACUUUCUAAAGAGACAAAUGCAACAACAAGCUUGUCAACGAGGGCUUUAAUGCGAGAGGUAUAUUGUUCAAUGGUUUCAGAAGGGUUUUUUUUUUAUGGAAUGAAGUGCAGAUCAUAAGUUAAGGAUGUUGGAUAUGGUAUUGGAGGAGUAUCUCGUUUUUCUAGAGAAAGCCACAAAUCUUUGGAGGAGACUAAGCCGACAACAUGGACAAGGGAAGAGGAUGACAAAGUAGCGUUUAUUAAAGAAAUGAGAGCUUGGUCACAAGAAAGCCCUUAGAGAUAAUUAGGAUUGAUUCCACAAGUGGUUCCAGCAGUUGGUGAUGGUAGAUGUUUUGGAGGAUAGGGAAGAUAAUCAUCAAUAUGACAAAAAGGGAAUGAGCUUUGAGUAUGAAGGAGACUUGAUACUCCUAGAGUAUAUAAUUACUAGUGUCGAAACGAAUAGGCACGAGAUUGCAAAUAAUGUUGGACAACAAGAAGAGAGUGGAGGUGGGAAGAGAUGGGUUUCCUUAAGGUAAGCAUUAGUGUGGAAAUGGAACAAGAUUAGGAACGGGAUGUGGCCAUUUGAAGAAGUAAGGUAUGUAAACAAAAUUAAUUUGAAGAUUCCUAUGAUACCAUUUAAAACUCUAAUUGACAAACGUAAUUUGUAUUUCUCAUUGAUAUGUAUGAUAGAACUAAGUCAUGCACAGCGGAAAAAGAAUCGAAUUUCUACCCUAAUUGCCACAAUUAACAUGUAACCAUAAACUAAUUAAAUUAGGGUUUUAGGAAAUAUUACCUUUGAAGCUUUCAAAAGGUUUGAUAUCUUCUUACCAAUUCUAACCGAGACCACCACUAGUACUCAACUGCUAUCCUCUAGACAAAGAACCGGGUUGUGGGACCCAAUUUUGGUGUAGAAAGUAAUGGAGAUAAAAUGAGAUUGGAAGGUUUUUUUUUUUUUUCUUUUGUUGAGAUGAUGAAAAUGAUAAAAGAGGCAAAAGUUCUUCAACAUUUGAAAACACCUCUAUUUAUAGCCUAAUUACAUGCAAAAAUGCAUGCAAUUCAUUUGCCAAAUCUCAACACCUAAUGUUCCACUAACAAUUAGUGGAACUUAGUGGGCUAGGUGUCUAUAUCUCAUAUAGCCACAUAUCCCACUAAGAGUUAGUGGGAUU